This 450-nucleotide ribosomal RNA is filed under the name uncultured bacterium. Its description in RNAcentral is "SSU rRNA". It matches the Rfam family "Bacterial small subunit ribosomal RNA", at positions 26 to 518 of the family's 1533-position model. The record is from RNAcentral.
AGGACGAACGCUGGCGGUGUGCUUCACACAUGCAAGUCGAACGGAGUAGCAAUACUUAGUGGCGGACGGGUGAGUAACGCGUGGGAAUCUGCCAUCUGGUGGGGGAUAACUAGUCGAAAGAUUAGCUAAUACCGCAUAUGCCGUGAGGUAAAAGGAGUAAUCCGCCUGAUGAUGAGCCUGCGUCCGAUUAGCUAGUUGGUGGGGUAAAUGCCUACCAAGGCUCCGAUCGGUAGCUGGUCUGAGAGGACGAUCAGCCACAAUGGGACUGAGACACGGCCCAUACUCCUACGGGAGGCAGCAGUGGGGAAUUUUACGCAAUGGGGGAAACCCUGACGUAGCGACACCGCGUGAGCGAAGAAGCCCUUUGGGGUGUAAAGCUCUGUCGGCUGGAACGAAAAAAAUGACGGUACCAGCAAAGGAAGCAUCGGCUAACUACGUGCCAGCAGCCGC